This 776-nucleotide long non-coding RNA is filed under the name Nicotiana tabacum (common tobacco). Its description in RNAcentral is "long non-coding RNA (NTAB_LNC000977)". The record is from RNAcentral. Lineage: Eukaryota; Viridiplantae; Streptophyta; Magnoliopsida; Solanales; Solanaceae.
AUAUCGUUGCGACGUUGUAAUGAUCCGGCCGGUCGUUUCGAGAGUUAUAGCCCCGAUCCCCUAUUAACUGCUUCUCUCAUACCUAUUUCUGCUAUUGUGUCCUAUCGGGAGGGUUCGUUUUAGUUUUUGGAGUGUUUUGGAAUACUUAGUCCCUAAAUAGAGGUUUAACCCUUAGGAUUUGGACCACAGUCGAAACUGUGUGAAGCCGACUCUAGAAUGGAGUUCCGUUAGCUCUAUAAGGUGAUUUUGGACUUAUGGGCAUGUCCGGAUAGUGUUUUGGAGGUCUGUAGCUCAUUUAGGCUUGAAAUGGCGAAAGUCAAAGUUUUGGAGAUUUUGACCGGUAGUGGACUUUUUGAUAUCAGGGUCGGUCCCAAUUCCGGAAGUUGGAGUAGGUCCGUAGGGUUGAAUAUGACAUGUGUGCAAAAUGUGGAGUCAAUCGGACGUAGUUUAGUUGGUUUCGGCAUCGGUUGUCGGAAUUGGAAGUUUCAAGUUCUUUAAGUUUGAAUCGAGGGAUGAUUCGUGAAUUUAGCAUUAUUUGAUGUUGUUUGAGGGCUCCUUUCAGCCCAAGCGCUAUAUCGUUGCGAUGUCGUAAUGACCCGGCCGGUCAUUUCGAGAGUUAUAGCCUCGAUCCAUUAUUAACUGCUUCUCUCAUACCUAUUUCUGCUAUUGUGUCUUGCCGGGAGGGUUCGUUUUGGUUUUUGGAGUGUUUUGGAAUACUUAGUCCCUAAAUAGAGGUUUAAGCCUUAGGAUAUGGACCACAGUCGAAACUGUGUGAU